RNAcentral lists this ribosomal RNA (491 nucleotides) under uncultured bacterium. RNAcentral describes it as "partial 16S ribosomal RNA". It matches the Rfam family "Bacterial small subunit ribosomal RNA", at positions 29 to 507 of the family's 1533-position model. The record is from RNAcentral.
AGUGAACGCUGGCGGUAGGCCUAACACAUGCAAGUCGAACGGCAGCACAGUAAGAGCUUGCUCUUACGGGUGGCGAGUGGCGGACGGGUGAGGAAUACAUCGGAAUCUACUUUUUCGUGGGGAUAACGUAGGGAAACUUACGCUAAUACCGCAUACGACCUACGGGUGAAAGCAGGGGAUCUUCGGACCUUGCGCGACUGAAUGAGCCGAUGUCGGAUUAGCUAGUUGGCGGGGUAAAGGCCCACCAAGGCGACGAUCCGUAGCUGGUCUGAGAGGAUGAUCAGCCACACUGGAACUGAGACACGGUCCAGACUCCUACGGGAGGCAGCAGUGGGGAAUAUUGGACAAUGGGCGCAAGCCUGAUCCAGCCAUACCGCGUGGGUGAAGAAGGCCUUCGGGUUGUAAAGCCCUUUUGUUGGGAAAGAAAAGCAGCAGGUUAAUACCCCGCUGUUCUGACGGUACCCAAAGAAUAAGCACCGGCUAACUUCGUG